RNAcentral lists this ribosomal RNA (373 nucleotides) under uncultured Ralstonia sp. Its description in RNAcentral is "bacterial SSU rRNA". It matches the Rfam family "Bacterial small subunit ribosomal RNA", at positions 975 to 1351 of the family's 1533-position model. Lineage: Bacteria; Pseudomonadati; Pseudomonadota; Betaproteobacteria; Burkholderiales; Burkholderiaceae. The record is from RNAcentral.
CUACCCUUGACAUGCCACUAACGAAGCAGAGAUGCAUUAGGUGCUCGAAAGAGAAAGUGGACACAGGUGCUGCAUGGCUGUCGUCAGCUCGUGUCGUGAGAUGUUGGGUUAAGUCCCGCAACGAGCGCAACCCUUGUCUCUAGUUGCUACGAAAGGGCACUCUAGAGAGACUGCCGGUGACAAACCGGAGGAAGGUGGGGAUGACGUCAAGUCCUCAUGGCCCUUAUGGGUAGGGCUUCACACGUCAUACAAUGGUGCAUACAGAGGGUUGCCAAGCCGCGAGGUGGAGCCAAUCCCAGAAAAUGCAUCGUAGUCCGGAUCGUAGUCUGCAACUCGACUACGUGAAGCUGGAAUCGCUAGUAAUCGCGGAUCA